GUGCGCAGCUGCGCUUUAGUGCGUGACGUGGACGGGAAAUUUCACCAGGCAGACGACAUAACCAGAUGGCGAUAUUAGGGAUAUAUUAUGAAAUUAUUGAAAAAUUCGUAAGUAUGGAAACACUUUCGAUAGUAUUUUAAUUGUAUUUAUUUUUUAUUAUCUUAUUUACUCGUCUGUUUUUGGUUCUAGUAGAGGAUUGGAAAAAGCCAUAUAAUUGAUGGAUGUUAAUUGCAUGAAAUUAUCUAUUCCUUGUAUUUGUACAUAAAAAAUUUACAUUUGUAGUUGUAAGAUAUUUAACAUACAUAUAUAUGAUAAAGCAUGGAAAGAAGAUUAAUUAUGAUAUUUCAACAUUUUCUUGAUGUAUUUAUGAAAACGUGGCGAACAUUUGUUCGUUUCCAUUUUAAAUUAGAGAUUGAAUUCGGUUUUCAUUUGCAUCUUUAAUUUGAUUCUAUGGAAUACUAGAAAUCAGUUUGAAUUUUUUUGAAGUUGAAAUUUAAAAUUGUCAUAUUUGUAAGUUUUCACAUCAGUUUUCACUACGUGAAUACAAACUUUAAAAUAUAGAGAAAGAACAUAUAUGAACUGAAAAUGCGAAGACAUAUAAUAUGGUUUAUAUGUCAAAGCAAAAUGUAUAUAUGUACAUAUAUCUACAUGUAUGUACAUAUACUAGACUAGUAUGUAUAUGCACUUCCAUUCACUUUUCGUGAUGGUUAAAAGCAUAAUUACUUAUUAUAUUAAUCCGUCACGAAUGUGAAAAAUUGCAUGUACCUCAUGUUUAUGGUUAUAAAUUAAUAGUACAUAGUCACCUUAAAAAGCCAGAAAUAACUUUGACAUAAAUAGGGACAACCGAAAUCAAGCAAAUUAUGACCACGGAAUAGCAUAUACAUUGUUUUGAAAAUAAAACAAACUGAUUAUACUAGUCUUGAUUGUUUUGGGAAUAUUUUAACGAGUUAAACAUUCCAAAAGUAAAGUUGAGAACACUCUGCUUAGAGCUGAACAUGUGUUACUCUUUGCGAACAUAAGGUGUUGUUUAGUUUGUUCCCGUUUUUAGUUUGCAAAAAUUAAAUCUGUUUGGAAGUUUAGGUAAGUUUUUCUCCAAAUCUCAUUCUGUUUCUAAAUCAUGUUCACGUGUAUCGCCCUCCCUUAAGAUAUUAUAAAUUCAAGGCGCCCAAAAAUCAGUAUUUUUAACGUAUAUGUAUCAAUGGUCUUGGCUUAUUCAAUCUCGCAUCAUUUUUUACUAAAUUAAUAUUCGCCCGCAUCCAUUUAUGCAUUUACUAUAACCCCCCUCCUUUUACAAUAUCAAAAUCAUAUCAUUUUAAAGGUACAGAUAUUGUAUUUACAUGACAGUCCUUUACAAGAAACAGAAAGUCCGUGCUACAACCCGUUCCAUUUCCGAAUUUAGUUCAAGACGACUGGUUCUCAAGAAUCCAGAAUUAAAUUUAUUGGUCAUUCGAGGAGAUCCCCUAUAAUGAAAUUUCAUUGUCAUUUUCAGAGAAAACUAUUGAUUAAACAAUGAAAUAUGAUAUAUUGAUUUACUAUAGAGAACUAUGAGGUAUUAAUACGUGUCAUAUAGGAUGUUAGCUUCUCAUUAAAUUUAACAGAAACGAUCUGGCGAUGGGGAUACUUCAUUUUAUGUUUUUCUAGCGAUUGGGAUACUUCGUUUAAUGGCGUUCAAGAGAUUAGGAUACCUCGUUUAAUGGCGUCUAAUAGGGCAUGUACUCAAACUUGAUUUUUUAUGACAGAGAGGCAGUCAUGCUGCAUAAUUUCAAUAUAGUAAUGUACAUAUAAUUUAACUGUACUAAGAUACUGUUUAUAGAAGUAUCGAGUGUGUUACGGGAAUAAAAGCAUGAGGGUAAUUCAGAGGCGGAUUUAGGGGGGACCAGGGGGCCCGGGCCCCCCCUUUUUGGGAAAAAAUUUGGUUGCUUAUAUAGGGAAUCACUGGGUCAGUCAGUGGGCCCCUACUUAUGAAAAUUUCUCGGGAUCCGCCAAUGGGUAUACUAUGGAUGGGAGUUCAUAAUCUUUUAGAUAAAACUUGUAUACUCCUUUUUCUCUUUCUUAUUGAUUUGCCUUUUAUUUCUAUUCUUGAUAUUUCAACACACGGUUAUUCUCUAUUUUCCAUUUCCCCCUCUUUCUCAUAUCUAGCAAGCGUGUUGACGCAUUCCAACUUCAGUGGCUGAGUGCAAACAAAAAUAGAAAAAGAAGAAAAUUACUUUGUGAAAAAUCAAAACUGACAAAAAUUUACCCCUAAAGUCAACUAAUUGGGACACAAUCUAAUGCGCAUGUAGUACGAGCAGAUAAUAUUUGUUGUUCGAAAGCUGCCACAUCCUGUUCCAUAUCGAGGCUUUGAUGUUCCAUACCGAGGCUUAACAUUUUGGUUCUCCCCCUUAAUUAGAAAAAGUUACUAGUUUUGGCUUCAACUUUCUACAUCAUGUGUAAUUAUUAAACUGAUAGCUACUGUUUAUAAUUUAGAAUUAAAAAACACAAAAAACAAAAUAGAUUGAAUGAUUAUAUACUUGACAAGGACUCUCUUUUUGAUAUACUAGUAUUUUAAGGUAAAACAAAUCUGAUUAUUUUCAUUAUUCAUGUGAAUACUUGGGGAGACUGAAAUGGAAAAUAACGUUCAGCACAACUUAACAAAUCUAACUUCAUUUUAAUAAAAUGUUCAGGAAACCAUUCGUAGUACUUAGGGAGCUACAUUUGAUUGUUAAGCCUCGUAUGGAAAUCAAAUGGCAGCUCCCUUAGAGUGCCAUGCACAAAACAAAUAUGUAUCCGAAAGGGUGGAAGGAAUAUUUUCAAUGGCGUGAACUUUCUGUCGUUAACAUGUGUUUAAACCGUGCUACCAGCUCCCAAACAAUAACUUGAAGAUGGGCGUUUCUAAAUACAAAAUAAAAAGGUUAAACAAGGAAACUCUAAACAAAUAUUGUUUGGCCUCAGAUGAAUAUCACUGAACUUGUACACAUGACACUUAAAAACUACGGAUGUAAAAGGCCAGAUUUAAGUAGCAAAUUUAAUAGACUUCCGCUGUAGAUAUAUAUAUACUCUUGGGUAAUUUGUAAAAUGUUAUGUUCACGCUUUUUUCCUGUACAUUUAAGGUCGUUUUUAAUACUUUGCGUGCCACAAACAAAACUAUGUUUUAAGAUAUAAGAUAAAAUAUAUCAUAAGAUAGAGAUUUUAAUAUAAAAUAAUCAGAUUUAUGUUGACAAUACAUCGAUCCGGGAAAUAUAAUCAAAUAGCUCGGUAAUGAAACAGAAAUGUAGAGUAGUCAUUUAAAAGAAAAUUGCUUAAAAAAAUAUCCUUAUAAUGCAAGUCCAAAUGUCGGUUCCAAAUUAUCUAGCUCUGUGAGAGAAUCUCGUAGAGAAUGUUGUAAUACCGCCACUCCAUCCAUUGUAACGUGUUCUCUAACCUUGAACGUCCUUGAUUCGUAAAAAAAUAAACCUGAUCACCUUCUGAGAAGAGACUUAGAUCUUGAAUAGACUGGAAAAUAAUCUUUUCAUUUGGAAUAAAAUCUCAGCAGCUGUGUCGUAGUUUUUAUCACCGUAAAUGAAAGAAAUGAGGUUGUUAGGUAUACGUUAAAAGAUUAUAUACACGUCACAGACCUAUCAACCAAACCACACGAACAAACACACACACACACACACGCACACUUAGACAUCUUAUUUGCUUGCAAUAGUGAGUGACAAGUCUUUUACUGAAAGAAAUUUAACAAAAGUAUAUCAAAUAUACCAGUAUUUCAAUUUAGUUAAUAUUAAAGACUUCAACAAUUUGAAGACAAGAAUCUCAUUGGCUGAGUGAAAUGAUACAAGAACAGAUAAAAGAACAAAAUGUUGACAGAUCCUUCUAGGAAAAGCUUAUGUAUUUGUAAUAAGAUUGGAUGAGUUGUGUUGCUUAUAAAUACAUGACAAUAUUGGCAGAUAUUCUGCUCGAUGUCUCUGAAAAGCUAAACGUCAGGGGAACAGACCAUACCGAGUCACGGACCCUGUCUAAGUUCAGGGGAAUAAAUAAUAAAAUCCGUCAUGCGUUUGUAAUAGUCAAAAGCUUAUCAAAGGUAUUAGUUUUAUCAAUGAUUAGAAGCAUUCAUCUGAAACAGAAGUUAAAUAAUCAAGGUAAAUUAGAAGCUUGAAAUAUUUUAAUGAGAAUGGCCGACAAACAAACGUUCCAGAGAUUUUGAUGACUAUCUCCCUAAAUACGAACAAAAUAAACUGAUUCCGCUGUUAUAUUUUAAGCUCGAAGAUAUCUGUUGUCAGAAUUGUUUUAAAUUUCAGUAUACUUCUUGAAACACUUGACUUUGGUAUAUUAAUAGCAAACGAAUUCUCAUUUGGCCGUCCAUAGUUAUAUAUUAUGUGUAGUUAUAUCAGGUUUCAUGGUUGUUAAAUUUAAUUAUAGUCGUAUUUCCUUUAUAAAACAAUAGUUAAUAUUAAGAACUGGGUACUUGAGGCUAUUUUAACCUCUCACCAUUUUUGUAUGAUACUUAUUUUUUGUUUUGUUUUGUAACAUUGCAUUUUUAUAAAAUUGAGAAUGAAAAUGGGGAUUGUGUCAAAGAGACAACAACCCGACCAAAGAGAAUACAACAGCCGAAGGCCACCAAUUGGUCUUCAAUGCAGCGAAAAACUCCCACAAUCCGAGGAGUGCUUCAGCUAUCCCCUUAUAGUCUUUUUGUUGUCUUUAGAAAAAUAUUAGAAGACAAUUUUAUUUUCUAAUCACGACUUUACUGAGAGAAUUACCAUUCAACAUGACAGCAGACAAGCGACAGAUGCCUCAGAAGUCAAAAACAAACCUACGAAAAACGACCAAACAAAAGAAUAAACCAUAACAUGGAAUUACAACAUGCUCAAAGACAUGCAUACGCAAGCAUUCAAUGUUCCACCAAUAGAAACAAACAUGUAUGUUUAACCCUUUUGUAGAAAGGGUGAAUGAGUUCUUUCUUUUCAACUAAACGAAAAUAUGCUUAUUUGAACCAUUGUCCGAUAAUGAGAUGCAAGCUAUAGAUCAGCUAACAUUUAACAAUAAUGAUGAGAUCCUUUUGAAACAAAAAUAACACAGGUUGAACAAUUAUGAUGUGUUAGUGUUCUUUUGAAUCUUUUCUGACGUGUAAACCAGAAUCUGGAUAAGGGAAAUCCUCAUUUCUAUAUUUUUUCUCAAAUUCUAUGCUAUUUUUCUCUUGAUUUUACUUUUUGUCUAUCAUUCACUAUUCUUUACAUUUUAGCACCUCAUCAUUCUCUAUUCUAUUCUUGUUUUUUUUUACUAUUAUUCUCUAUAAUGCCUUUAACCUCCAUCCACACCCUCAGGGAUGAAAACAAUCAGUCUAUAAAAACAUACUCUAACGUACACAAUAUAUGACCUAUAAAUUAAAUUUUGUUUGACAAAAUGAUACUUCAAAGUUCUUGAGUUAAACAUCCGAGGUUAUCUGCCGUUUACAAAAAUCAAUACCAUAUAUGGUAUUUCACAUAUGAUGCAUUUUAAAGCCUGUAAUUUGAUCGAGAUGAGAGUUGAUUUGCUACGCGAUAAAAAGAAAUAUCCACAAUCAAUACGAAAACACGUGCUUAAGUGCAUAACGCCAUGAUUAUAUCCAGACAACACCGGAAACGGUUGAAUUAGGAAGCGGAAAUGUAAUCUCUAAACCGCUUCAAUGUAAACGAAAAAGAGACACAUAAUCACAAAUUUUCCUGUUAAGUAAAUGUUUGAAGUUAAGCAUGACAAACACAUUUACAAAUUUCAGAUUGAGCUGAAAUAGUUCUACAAGAAUUUAUACCAUAGACUAGGUAACCUAUUGAAAAAUUAUAAAAUGCGAAGCCAAAAGUUGGUAAUUUGAAACAAAAAAGGAAUUAUCUUCACUUCUGACAGUAGCAUUGGUCCGUUUAUAAUCUUUAUCUUUGAUUUAAGAUGUAAAAUUGAGCUUUUUACACUUCUUAGUUUCAUGCAAUUACAACCAACUAAUCUAGAACUGAUAACUAUUUUAGUUUUAAUCACAAACUGAUCUUUUGUGCUCUGAAGCGAGAUUUAAUAUGCGGUGCUCCCACAGCUAAGGAGGAAAUGAUUAUAUUUAAAAACCUGGUACGUCUGCUAACCGAUGAGAUAGCAUCGAUCAGUUGUCAUAGGAUGGUAAAUUAACGUAAUCCCCGACUGUAUUUAUUUCUGUUCUUACAUAUCUAUUACUUGCAUGAUCGAUAAGGCAACGAAUAAAAGGGCGUGAACUAUGUCCUAAAUGAGAAGUUAUUUCAACAAGACCGAUGGGUAGUAAAAUAUGAGGGUCAGCGUGGGGUGUACAUAUUAUUGCUAAAUGAACAGUAACAUCAACCAAAAUAUAAAGAAAUAUAGAAGAAUAAUGAAAAAUAGAUAAUUAUGGACAAAAAGAUAAAUAAUGGAGACAAAUAAUUUAAGAAAUUAAUAAUACAGAACGAUCGCCCCCCAUCUAGACCCUCAUUUUCAUCGCUCGAUUCUUUACUAGUAGUGUAGGGAGCUUUUUUUGUCACUUCAUGCCAUGCUACUCAUACAAGCUGCAAAUAUUUUUAUGUAAAGAGGUUAGGUGAAGCUUCAUAUUCCACAACAACUUUGAUAUACCUCUUGUUAUGGGGUUGUUUGUUUGACAUUUUGAAAAAUUAAAAGUACAAGUUCAUCAAAUUUCAGAGUAAUAUGUUAAAAUUGGCUUUAUUGUGUGGUCAAAGAUAUGUAUACUAUGCUGUAGCGCUUCCUGGAUUGUUUAAGUAAAGAUAUUCGGUCCCAAGUCAGGAGCCUUUCGUACAGUAGUAUUUUGUUGACGUUAAUCAUAUGGUUUUUUAUCCUUUAUUGUUGGUAAAUAAAUCAUUUCGUUAGUUUUUUUGUUUGAAGUGUUACAUUUGUCAUUUUGGGGUCUUUAAUAGCUUUCUAUUUGCGGUUUGGUUUUGCUCAUUGUUGAAGGUCGUGAGAUGACCUAUACGGAAAAAGAGAUACUCAAUAAGGCCAUCAAGAAAAUUAAGAUAUUCAUUCAAAGUCAACAGAAAAUAUAUCUUUUUUAUGUAAAGUUUUGUAUAGAUUUAACAGAUCAAUUAUCAGCCUAAUAAUGAAAUGCACACGCACAUGACAUGUAUAUGUCAGUCUUGACGAUGAAUGGACAUUCCGUCUGGUUAAUUUUCGACAGUCAGAUGGGUCAUUUUAGAAGGGACUGAGUAGUGCAAUUCAAAAUGAAUGAACAACAAACCUUCAAAAGUUGCCUAUCAGUAGCUCGUACAAAACACAAGAAGUUAAUAUUGUGUUCCGCGUAAGAUACUAGAAACUGGACCACUAAUUGAGGCUCCCACAGGGUACCCCCUUCAGGUUGCAAGGUCGCUUUUAAAUUCGUCGAGAGGUCGUUUUUAAGGGAAAUGUACAGGUCGCAGGUCGUUUUUCCCAAUACAGAGGACGGAAGUCGGUCGGAGGUCGUUUUUUCCAAAUUUUACAGGUCGCAGGUCGUUUUUAGAAGGCCCUCAGGUCGGAAGUCGCCUCUAAAAAGCCAGAGGUCAGAAGUCGUUUUUGACCCUGCGGGAGCCUCCUAAUUGGCCGUUUCAGAAUCUAAAGGACUAUGGGUAAUUUCAUUGUUCGUACCCCAAAAUGAAAUUAACGUCACGACAUUGGUUGAAUUUCCAUUGUUUUUUUGACUUUUUCAACCAAUCACGACUUUUUGGUGUACACUUUUGAAAAUAUUACCCAGAAUGCAUCAAACGGUAAAUUGCAUAUAUCUAGGACCUCAAAUAACAUCUAUGGUAAAACCAUGUGCUUCUAACUCUGGAAAAAUUUGUCUACACAUUCAAUUUUAUUUAAAUUGCUGUUUAGUAAUUAAUUGGUCGAGGGAUUUUGAUUGAUUAUAAUAUAAUUUAAUUUUGGAUGUAACACGUCUUCUGAUUGGCUGACGUUAUUUUGUUAUGAGCCCAUAAACAUAAUUUAGUCAUGUGACCGUGACGUCAUCAACGUUUUUUCAUGGUUUUCUACGGUUUAAAAUGGAAUUUAGGAUUAAAUUAUAGAAAUAACUGUAAUAUUUUUUCUGUCUAUUCUGCUGCCAACUGAAUCUAUGCCAAGAGUGUCAUGAGGCUUUUUUGUGCGCACGCACAAUCAUCAUUAUUUUCCAUAUCAUGGAAUGUAUGUCAUUGUUCUAAAUUUCAUUUCUCUCUAUUGGGACAUAUUUCCAACGACGACACGAAACAAUUUUGCUUUAAGUACUAUUAGAUGUUCAAUUACAUUUCCAAGUUCCAAAGCUUAAUGCAAGUUUUGGCUUUCAUUUUAUCCCCUUUAUGAUAUAAAUCAUCGCUAGAAAUAUUUUAAUUAACCAAUACUUUCCCUAGUUAUACUAGCAUGGGAUUUUAUAAUCAUAGUUAAUAUGGUAUCUAAUUUUUGUCGAUAAUUACACAUUGGUAACAUGUGGUAUCGAAUACAACUUCUAUUACAGGCAGUAAAUAUUAAGCAUCCGUUCGAUACAUUUACACUCUUAGUCUUUUCGGUUUUAGGUUUGAAUUAAACAAUAUUUCCCCUAAUUAAACUGCGAUGGGACUAUAAUAUUUGUUAAUAUUCAUUUUCAUAGUUUUCAAUUAUUUUACAAAUGUACCAUAUUUUUUUACAGCCAUUAUAGUAAUUGAGCUUGAAUUGUUUAUUUUAUAUUUAAUUGUUUUAAUAAACUAAUAUAUUCCUCAUUUAUACUGCGUUGGGACCAUUAAUAUUUGUGUCAAUAUUAAUUGUUUUUGUUUCAUGUUCAACUAUACAAAUUGUAACAUGUGGUAUCAAACUAACUUUUAUUUACAGUCAGUUAAAACAGAUAUUCGAUUCAAAACAUUUACACACAGUUGGAUUUUAUGUUUUAUUUAAACCACAGUUCAAGUUAUGCUGUUAAAAAUUAAGUAACACGUUUCUGACAAAAUUAACUCCCCUGCGAAUAGUGUAAUAUUUCGCUUAUUUGUUGUGUUAAACGCCACUUCCGGGAUACACAUGUAGUCAUAGAACAAUUUCGUACGUACUUAGACUCAAAAAUCAACCAAUCAAAUUAAUGAAUUUCUGUCUUUCAAGUCCCGAGUACUGAGUUCAGACUUUACGCCUGAAAGGGCAAAGGCAUAUAAGUAUUCUUGGCUAUAGUAGUGGAAAACCUUACAUUCCCUGUAAACCCUGAAAACAUUAUUUUCAAUGUUUGUCUUGUUUUACCAAAAAUGCGUUAGGGUAAAUGUAAUAAUAAAAACUUUGAUAAAAACAAAUGUCAAUGUUCAUAUAAUGUUAUCCCUUCUGAAAUAGCAAGCGACGAGUACGGCUAACGGAAGAAUUAUACAGUCAACCAACUAUGCAGACCUUCGAAAUAAGAAUGUGCUAUCAAUUUAAGCUAGGCUGAUUUGAAUUUGAAAUUUGUUUAAGUAGUUUAGAAACUGCUAUUUUUAGAAUACAUUUUGAAAACAUUUUGAAGUUUUUUCAUUAGGUUGCAGUCUCAUUGACGUAUAUAGUCACUUUAAAAUGAGGCUAGUUACGGCCAUGAUAUUUCAAAUUUCCUAUUUAAGACAUAUCUACGAUAUUCUGUAAAAUCUUACUUUGAUAUUAUUUUAUAAUUGCAAUAUGAGUCUAACUACAGUCCUGCAUGUAGAGUAGACACCUUUUUAUUUUUGCGUAUUGCAGAAACCUAUAGAUGCAUGCAUGAUAUGUGACAAUGUGUGUUGAUGUCUGUGUGACGUUUUUCCAAAGUCUCGUUUCAUACACACUUUCAGAGAGUGAGAUAUCAACUUUACUUGUAAAAAUGUCUAUAUUUGUCUUGGAAAACGCUUGUCAGCAAAAACACGGAAUUUCUAACAGUGCACUCUUCUGAAUUGUUGCCUUAGGCAGCAACCAUUUGAUUUUCUGGGGGGGGGCUAUGGUUUUUUUUUCUGUGCAAACUUUUUUUUUCGCCUUCGGCGAAGAACAAUCUAUUUUUUUACGACAAAAGACAAUUUUUUUCUUUUAAUUUUAGCAUUACAUAUAGUGGCAGCUGAGGUGAACAAACAAUUUUUUUUACUCAGUCCAAACAAAUUAUUUUUUUCACCAAAAACCUGAAACAACUUUUUUUCCAAAAAAAACAUAGCCCCCCCCCCAGAAAAUCAAAUGGUUGCUGCCUUAUUACAUGUUUAAAUAGACAUAGAACUCAUUAAUCUUUUAUUGUAGGAUUUAAUGACGCUAGCAGAAGGGUAACAUGCAAUCCUCGUGGACUAUAAAGUUCAGUAAUAAUCUAGCAAGUCAAUAUUUCUUGUUAAAAUUAGUGAAACAAUCAAUAUUUGCAUAUCUCGCUUUUGGUCCAUAACAUCGCGGUUUUCUGAGCGUUUUAUCACAUCGAUAUCAAUAUUAGAUGCUGUAAAAUCCAAUUUGAUAACGAACACGUGUAAAACACUCUAAUGUAUUUUAACAAAUUACUUGAAUUCAUCCGAGCUGUUUCGGAAUGGGUUAAUAGCUUUGUUUUUACAAAUGUAGUUUUAUCCCUAUAUAAAUCGAUAGUCUGUCAUUAAGGAGGGCCCUCAUGGGGUUUUUGAUUAUGUGAUUACUUGGCCGUUUUUUUAAUGAUUAUUUGAUUAUUAAGCAAUAUUUCAUGAUUAUUGAUUACCUAGACUGUAUUUUUAGUUUAUGAUUAUUUGAUUACUAAAAGAUAAGCAAAUAUUUAAUGAUUAUGUGAUUAUAUUGGCAAAAAAAUGGUGAUUAUGUGAUUACUAGGACCCCCCCAUGAGGGGCCUCAUUAAGGAGGGUUUGGAUGGGGGUUCAGAGAAUAGAAAAUAAUGGUAAAAAAAAUAAUAGAGAAAAAUGGAUAAAAAAAAUUAAGAAUACAAAACAAUUAGGUGCUAACCUACAAUAUAAGAAAAAAGAAUAAUGGGCAAAAAGAAUGAAAUAAAUAAAUGAAAGAAUACCUAAAUUACAGACCCCCCAUCCAGCCCCUCAUUUAUCAGAAAAUAAUUCAGUGCUAGAUGUUGUCUCCCAUUUCAAAGAAAACUCUUGUUUAAAUUGAAAUCAACGGAAUAAUUUGUAUGUGUUGAAAUACGAUAUUAGUGACGAUUGCAUUGCAAUCUACUAUAAAGAGAUAUCCUUAAUGACCAUUUGAACAAACACGGAACAAUCUCGGAAGUGUCUUUUCAUUAAAUGCUCAGUGUGUUGCUUAUUUCAUUUACUAUUCCUGGUGUAAAUGACCGAAGUUUGUUGGAGGAGAUUUCUUUGUUGUUGCAGGAAAUGGCUUUGUGGCACGUGAUUUACAAUAAAAACAUGGCGUCGGGUCCGGCAGUUCGGAACUUUUCUAAAUUUUAACAUGAGGCCAAGAUUCUAAAGAUAGUUGAGAAUUACACAUUUACCUAGCAAACCGUACUUAAAAUGAGACAUUUUUCUCAUAAGAAGCCCUAUAAAAGACUCAGUCAUAAUGCGUAUUUGGUCAAUUAGCCUUUCAUUGUAAUUUGUUUUGGAGUUAUGUUUUGUAAUCUGAAACAGACUUAAAACAAAGACAUGACACAUCUUUUGGCUAGCAGAUGAUGACAAAUGAACAAAUACCAAGCAAUGCUGAAACUAAGCAAACAUAAAAAAAUUAUAUAAACACUUUAACGGAAGGAACUAAUCUUAAGAGUGUCCAUGAAACGAGUUUCUUGGUAGCAUUUCCAGUGGCGGAUCCAGCCAUUUUAAAAAGGGGGGGGGUCCAACUAUAUGCUCCCAUUCAAAUGCAUUGAUCAGCCAAAAAAGGGGGGGUUCCAACCCCUGGAAACCCCCCCCCCCUGAUCCGUCACUGAUUUCUCAUUAGUUUAAAAAAGGGAGAUGUAGUAUAGGAUUGCCAUUUACAACACUUUCCACCAAAUAUCAAAUAACGUAGAUGUAAGCAAAUUGAUCAAUCGGCAAUCCUCGGGUGAUCGGCCGAGUAUUGACGAUUGCAAAUGGGUGUCUCCUAACGACCUUUCGCCAAUGAGCUAAAACAUCAUACCGAACAGUAAAUCCAAAAGGCGACAAACUGAAGACAGUUCAGACGAGAUUUCAGACGAGAAUACCAAUGACCUGAUUUAUGAACCACAGAAUAAACUAAUUCAAGCCCUUUCCGUGUCCGAUUUUCUCCACACGAGGAGCCUUCGUAGAUCAGCGGAAUAUAACGACUGAAUUAUUCGGGUUAAGAAUAAACGAAAAACAAUAUGGCAGACAGCAACAAAGAACGACCAACAAAUUAAUUAAAAGGUCCUGACAUUUGUGACGGGCAUAUACAGAAUGUGAGGGGAUUGAACAAGCUUCCAAAUACAACUUCAUACAGCCCGCCCAAAACCGAAGUUUGCAAAGCAUAGGGUAUACAAUGUUUUUGAGCUAAAUUAACAAAAUGGUCUUCUUACGGCCAAACAAUGUCAAAGGGGGCUGCAUUCUGAUUAAACUGCGAAUUAUGUGUUCACUCUUGGGUUCCAAGGCUCUGAGAAAAACUUUUAAAUCUACUUUUUGUUCUAGUAAUUUUUAUAACUGCCAAUUUAAGCCAUCAUUUUUUUUAAAUGUGCGUAUCAUUUCGAUAAAACCAGAGGACUCGGAAAACAAAAAAGGCGAAAGUACGGAAAUGAACAUCUAUCAAUAUACGAUUAUGACCAACGCAAUAGAAUAAGUUCAAAUUAUAAACAAUGCUAGUAAUUAAUUAUGAAUUCCUUUUAUUUACAUAUUAAGUGCAAUAUGAUUAAGAGUUGACAUCAAAGGAAACACUAUUAUAUUUCAUUAUCAUAUUAGGGUUAAGAAAUAAACGACGUCAUUUAUUGGUUUACAUAGAUUUUGUUUUCUUUCAGUGAUUUGAUUAACACCAGUAUGUUAUUAACACUGAACAAAAGAGGAAGACAUAGAUAGUCUGGAUUUGCCAUUUGAAUAUACAGGCGAGCAUCCGAGACAGCUAUAGGACAGCUCGAUGAAUGAGAGAAAAAUACCGGUAUGUUGGAAUUGUUUUGUCUUCCUUUUA
Molecule: long non-coding RNA, 12886 nt
Filed under: Mytilus galloprovincialis (Mediterranean mussel)
Lineage: Eukaryota; Metazoa; Mollusca; Bivalvia; Mytilida; Mytilidae
Source: RNAcentral